ACUACCCGCUGAACUUAAGCAUAUCAAUAAGCGGAGGAAAAGAAACCAACAGGGAUUGCCUCAGUAACGGCGAGUGAAGCGGCAAAAGCUCAAAUUUGAAAUCCCCCGGGAAUUGUAAUUUGAAGAGAUUUGGGUCCGGCCGGCAGGGGUUAAGUCCACUGGAAAGUGGCGCCACAGAGGGUGACAGCCCCGUGAACCCCUUCAACGCCCUCGUCCCAGAUCUCCAAGAGUCGAGUUGUUUGGGAAUGCAGCUCUAAGUGGGUGGUAAAUUCCAUCUAAAGCUAAAUACCGGCGAGAGACCGAUAGCGAACAAGUACAGUGAUGGAAAGAUGAAAAGCACUUUGAAAAGAGAGUGAAAAAGUACGUGAAAUUGUUGAAAGGGAAGGGCUUGCAAGCAGACACUUAACUGGGCCAGCAUCGGGGCGGCGGGAAACAAAACCACCGGAGAAUGUACCUCUCGAGGAUUAUAACCCCGGUCUCAAUUUCCUCACCACCCCGAGGCCUGCAAUCUAAGGAU
RNAcentral lists this ribosomal RNA (517 nucleotides) under uncultured Metschnikowiaceae. Its description in RNAcentral is "eukaryotic LSU rRNA". It matches the Rfam family "Eukaryotic large subunit ribosomal RNA", at positions 20 to 531 of the family's 3401-position model. The record is from RNAcentral. Lineage: Eukaryota; Fungi; Ascomycota; Saccharomycetes.